Molecule: long non-coding RNA, 226 nt
Filed under: Elaeis guineensis (African oil palm)
Lineage: Eukaryota; Viridiplantae; Streptophyta; Magnoliopsida; Arecales; Arecaceae
Description: long non-coding RNA (EGUI_LNC017547)
Source: RNAcentral
CCAAUAUUCAUCAGUGUCUCUUGAAAAGGGUAGAUUUAAACUGAGUGAUUAGCACUAAGAGGCCAGUAAUAAAGAUAACCCAAUCAUGAUGUAGAUUCAGAAUUUUAGUGCCCACAUACUCUAAAGAAGCUGAUUGAUUAAGAAAAAUGAGAGCAUUAUGCUCAUGUUAGGAUGAAAAUUAUUUUUCCACCAAGUAGAAAAGAGCUCUAUUAAACUGUUGGAAGGU